CCUACGGGUGGCAGCAGUGGGGAAUAUUGGGCAAUGGAGGAAACUCUGACCCAGCAACGCCGCGUGAAUGAUGAAGGUCUUCGGAUUGUAAAGUUCUUUUCUAAGGGAAGUAGAAAGUUACGGUACCUUAGGAAUAAGCCUCGGCUAACUACGUGCCAGCAGCCGCGGUAAUACGGAGGAGGCAAGCGUUAUCCGGAAUGACUGGGGGUAAAGGGUGCGUAGGUGGUUUGACAAGUUGGUAGCGUAACUCCGAGGCUCAACCUCGGCACUACUACCAAAACUGUUGGACUUGAGUGCAGGAGAGGCGAAUGGAAUUCCUAGUGUAGCGGUGGAAUGCGUAGAUAUUAGGAAGAACACCAGUGGCGAAGGCGAUUUGCUGGACUGUAACUGACACUGAGGCACGAAAGCGUGGGGAGCAAACAGGAUUAGAUACCCCUGUAGUC
RNAcentral lists this ribosomal RNA (443 nucleotides) under uncultured bacterium. Its description in RNAcentral is "partial 16S ribosomal RNA". It matches the Rfam family "Bacterial small subunit ribosomal RNA", at positions 338 to 795 of the family's 1533-position model. The record is from RNAcentral.